Molecule: ribosomal RNA, 253 nt
Filed under: uncultured bacterium
Lineage: Bacteria
Description: partial 16S ribosomal RNA
Rfam family: Bacterial small subunit ribosomal RNA
Source: RNAcentral
UACGGAGGAGGCAAGCGUUAUCCGGAAUUCUUGGGCGUAAAGAGUCCGUAGGUGGCCAUUCAAGUCUGCUGUUAAAGCGUGGAGCUUAACUCCAUACCGGCAGUGGAAACUGAAUAGCUAGAGUUCGGUAGGGGUAGCGGGAAUUCCCAGUGUAGCGGUGAAAUGCGUAGAGAUUGGGAAGAACAUCGGUGGCGAAAGCGCGCUACUGGACCGAAACUGACGCUGAGGGACGAAAGCUAGGGGAGCGAAAGGG